Long non-coding RNA from Trifolium pratense (red clover), 1964 nucleotides. RefSeq lists it as uncharacterized. The transcript has 8 exons. NCBI's taxonomy places the organism in Eukaryota, Viridiplantae, Streptophyta, Magnoliopsida, Fabales, Fabaceae. The record is from RefSeq and is a predicted model, not a curated record.
AGUUUACAUCUGUGGAACAUAUGUCAGAUGUAAUAAGCUAUAUGGAGUAGGGUUUUCAUCUGGUUUCAAUAUCCACAGAAGUGAAAAAUACAUAGACACAACUUUUUACAUCUGGUCAUAAUAUAACCAGAAGCAAAGCUGAAUGCGGUGGCAAUCCUGUAAUUAUGGUGAGAAUUGUGUAACUCGCAGUACUAUCAUGAUCUCACUCAUCUCUCUCACGCACUGCUCACUCGAUUUCUCUCACUUCUCACUCGAACCCUAGCGGCCUUAUCUCUCUCACGAUCGAUCUCGUCUUCUCUCUCACUAAUCUCACUCGAACUCGGCGGCGUCAUCUCUCUCACCGACCUCACGUACUCGCUCAUCUUUGUCGUCUCUCUGUCUCACUGAAACACGAAUUGAUGGCUGAAUCGGAAAUUCCAAAACCCAGUGAAACAUGAAUUGAAGGUUGAAGCACUCAUAUCUGUCUUCUCUCUCGUUUCAUCUUCUCUAGCCCUAAACCCAGAGAAAAGAAAGCAUACAAGAGUUUUCGCACACGAAGAAAGCUACCUGAGUAUGCAAUUCUUCUUGAACAAAUCUGGUGGAAGCUUUUAGAUUUUGUUGAACUAAAGCAGCUCGAUACCUUUCUUUGACAUUGAGAAACAUGAAACUACGAUUUUGCGUUGGUCUAUAGCUAGGACAAUAGCUACUAAGGACCAGUUGCAGCAAACAGAAGUGGAUUGUGCGUAUUUGAAUAGAUGUUGUGAGAUACUGACAGAAGAGACUAAGAGUUUACAUAAAGAACUUCAAAUUUGGAGCAGUUUCUCUCGGGUUCAUUUUGUUAUUGUACUAGUAAGCAUUCUGCUUAGUUGAAUGAUUGAAGAAGGGAUCCAGACUAUGAGAAACAAUUGGGAUAUUGAUGGAAGCAAUUUGUUGGAUAUCUAUGCAGGUAUGUAGUGUAGGUUCUGAUAUUCAAAAAAAAAAGAUGUAGUGCAGAUUCUGGCCACAACCUAUCAUAUAAACAUGAUCCAAUUAUGUAUUGUAUGUUUUGUUAUUAAAAUUAUUUUAGCCUCUGAUGUGACUUUUAUUUUUGUUGGACUGCUUUGAUAUCCAUGUGUGAUGUCUUUCCAUCUGCUGACCGUGAUAAUUUUUGCUCUCGGACAACGCUUUGGUGGUGGUCCUCUUGAUCUAAUCUCCGGAUUCACCGUCAUCAUCAAUGUUAGUCCAUUAGUAUAGAGAAGUAUAGUUAAAAAUAACAUGAUCCAGUCAUUGACUAAGCAUCUCUUCAACAAGGUUUGUCUUCUAAGUUUACUCUGGUAUAAUCAGCCACCAUGACUCUUUUUUUCAGGAUUUUUAAACCUUGUUGAAGGAGAAAGACAAAUUCAAACCUGGAUGUUUUCAAGAAGGAGAAAGACAAAUUCAAACCUGGAUCUAAGGUAGAAGAAAGUUAAGGGUUGUUUAAGAACAAGUGGAGUGGCAGCAAAAGCUGCGUUUCUGUUACUGAACAGCUCGUCUAGCGAGAAGCAUCAUCGCCUAGCGAGGACAGCAGCGUGCUCUGCCUGUGUGUGUUGUUCUUUCCCCUAUCCAACCAUUCUUGAUCAUAGCUUCACAUUGAGUAGGGUACUGUGCUCCCCCCCCCCAAAAAAAAAGAGACUGCAGCUAUUUAGGAGCGAGGCCGGGUUUCUCUCUUAUUUGACGUUGUACAUUGUUUAGCUUAAGUUUUGGUAAGUUGCUAUAUAGGAGCUCUUAGAUCUUGCGAACUGUCUUGAUUUUGAUGACAAUAUUAGUGAUGCAAUUUAGGAAAGGGAUGUAUAGUAUGGUGCUAUUGUACAUAUGUGAUUUGAAUUUAAUAAGUAUUAGGCUUUGGCAUUUUAGUGUGGUGAACUAUCUUGAUUUAGGAAGGGAUCUAGGUAUGUGUGAAGUUAUUGUAUGGUGAAUUGUUUUGAUAUUAAUUUUGGAUGUUGAAUGGUACAUAUUAGCAUUGUUAA